GGUGACGUCGACCGCCGAACAAGGAGAACUGGUCCUAUUUCUUUGUAACAAAAUUUUGUAUGUCAAUCCAUAAAAUUCUACUAUAAAUACAGGAUCGGCUGUUUCACGGCCCGACCGCUCAGACGGUCGUGUGUGCUCCAGCAAAAUUCGAGAGAGAGAGGGAAGACGACACGCUGUUGAAGGGAGAGAGGGAAGAGAUGCUGUUGAUUUGAACCUGCACCGCCAGAAAACGGGAUAAUACAUCUAGCUGAGGAUCUACCUACCUGAACAAGACCAACCAUCACCACCAUGUCAAAGYACCAGUGUGAAUCCGUAGCAGUGAGCGUGGAGUCCCUUUUAACUGACGCGGUUAAGAUGCAGUCCCAGUGUCAGGAGUGUAGUGAGCAGCUAGCCAUGGCCGCCGCCGCACUGAGGGAGGAGUCGGCGUGCUUGAGAGAACAGUGUCAAGCCACCCAGCUGGAUAUGGCCCGGAUGAGAAGACAGCUAGAACAACUGCUGGAUAGCAAGGCUCAGAUGGAGGCCAGUGACAGAAUGCACCGCAAACUCAGCAAGACACUCUGAAGGAAAAGGAGGGGAGAGAAGGAGGGAAGGAGAGGAGAGGAGGGGAGAGGAGAGGAGAGGAGGGGAGAGGAGAGAAGAAGAGUGAGAAAAUAAGAACGGUUGGAUAACAAAGCUUCGACGGAGACCCGUUAAAAUGUUUUAUUUUUAUUUUUUAAGUAUCCUGUUCUCUAACUCUAAUUCCUGUCCCUAAACAAUAUACUUUAUGCUUAAUAAGAAGUUAUUAUUCUAGCUAUAUAGGCUUUCACUUCURUUCWKGAAGAUUGAAUGGUUAUGGGUCUGAAUAAAUAGCUGCUGUAGCCUACCGUCAUCGCUUCUUUCAAACUACCCGUGAGUUCUAUUGGUGUAUUUAACAUUCGGCAGAAAAGAGCUUGGAUCCUUCUUCCAAUAGUCUAUUUGGUAUAAGAAAUGCUCAAAAAAAUUAAAAUAAAAAAUCCAACGAGCUAUUCUAGUUUUUCCUGCAUGGGACCAAGAGCUAAGGAGCGUUUUUUUAAGGGGAGGUUAGCAGAGCUCAGGCGCUUGGGUAUUACGCAAGAGACAGAGGCUG
This is a long non-coding RNA of Salvelinus sp. IW2-2015, 1105 nucleotides long. RefSeq lists it as uncharacterized. NCBI's taxonomy places the organism in Eukaryota, Metazoa, Chordata, Actinopteri, Salmoniformes, Salmonidae. The record is from RefSeq and is a predicted model, not a curated record.